GAUGAACGCUAGCGGGAGGCCUAACACAUGCAAGCCGAGCGGUAUUUGUCCUUCGGGCCCGAGAGAGCGGCGUACGGGUGCGGAACACGUGUGCAACCUGCCUUUAUCUGGGGGAUAGCCUUUCGAAAGGAAGAUUAAUACCCCAUAAUAUAUCGAAUGGCAUCAUUCGAUAUUGAAAACUCCGGUGGAUAGAGAUGGGCACGCGCAAGAUUAGAUAGUUGGUGAGGUAACGGCUCACCAAGUCAGUGAUCUUUAGGGGGCCUGAGAGGGUGAUCCCCCACACUGGUACUGAGACACGGACCAGACUCCUACGGGAGGCAGCAGUGAGGAAUAUUGGACAAUGGGUGAGAGCCUGAUCCAGCCAUCCCGCGUGAAGGACUAAGGCCCUAUGGGUUGUAAACUUCUUUUAUACUGGGAUAAACCUACUUACGUGUAAGUAGCUGAAGGUACAGUAUGAAUAAGCACCGGCUAACUCCGUG
This 479-nucleotide ribosomal RNA is filed under the name uncultured bacterium. Its description in RNAcentral is "partial 16S ribosomal RNA". It matches the Rfam family "Bacterial small subunit ribosomal RNA", at positions 28 to 507 of the family's 1533-position model. The record is from RNAcentral.